UGGCUUUUGAGGGCAGCAUUCUCACCCU
Molecule: non-coding RNA, 28 nt
Filed under: Rattus norvegicus (Norway rat)
Lineage: Eukaryota; Metazoa; Chordata; Mammalia; Rodentia; Muridae
Source: RNAcentral